GACGAACGCUGGCGGCGUGCUUAACACAUGCCAGUCGAACGGAAAGGCCCUGCUUUUGUGGGGUGCUCGAGUGGCGAACGGGUGAGUAACACGUGAGUAACCUGCCCUUGACUUUGGGAUAACUUCAGGAAACUGGGGCUAAUACAGGAUAGGAGCUCCUGCUGCAUGGUGGGGGUUGGAAAGUUUCGGCGGUUGGGGAUGGACUCGCGGCUUAUCAGCUUGUUGGUGGGGUAGUGGCUUACCAAGGCUUUGACGGGUAGCCGGCCUGAGAGGGUGACCGGCCACAUGGGGACUGAGAGACGGCCCAGACGCCUACGGGAGGCAGCAGUGGGGAAUAUUGCACAAUGGGCGGAAGCCUGAUGCAGCAACGCCGCGUGCGGGAUGACGGCCUUCGGGUUGUAAACCGCUUUCGCCGGUGACGAAGCGGGAGUGACGGUAAUGGGUAAAGAAGCACCGGCUAACUACGUG
Molecule: ribosomal RNA, 468 nt
Filed under: uncultured bacterium
Lineage: Bacteria
Description: partial 16S ribosomal RNA
Rfam family: Bacterial small subunit ribosomal RNA
Source: RNAcentral